RNAcentral lists this ribosomal RNA (1428 nucleotides) under Triticum aestivum (bread wheat). RNAcentral's name for it is "partial small subunit ribosomal RNA". The record is from RNAcentral. Lineage: Eukaryota; Viridiplantae; Streptophyta; Magnoliopsida; Poales; Poaceae.
AUGCCGCCGAAGGCCGCGAGGCGGCGCAGGAGGGGGGAUCAGGACACGGACACGGAAGCCAGGAAGAAGAAGAAGAAGACCAAGAUAAGCCUAGCAGAGGAUCGAAGAUUGAUGUUCGCGGCCUUCGAGAGUGAAAAAACCCAACCCCAACCAAAAUUAGAUCGUGCGUACGACGACGACGCGGCCGAGUCCUCGUCGGAGGAAUCCGCCUAUCCACCCAGCCCUCUGCUCCACAGGCCCUAUAUCCCCGACGAACUAGCUGACAGGCCGGACAUACGUGCCGCCUUCAAGCACGCCGAAGCCGAAUACCGAGCAGAUAAAUCUUGUCGGUUUGUCUUCAUCCUGAAUCGCCACUCUUCUCUUUCGUGCCUGUCCAAGGACCGAAGCCUUCUUCAUAUCCGUGAGCCUGCAAAGGAUGCCGUGCUUCUUGCCGCCGACUCUAUCGUCAGCCUCUCGUCCUAUCUCGAUGAUGAGCCGUUGAAUAGGUGUUCUGGCUUGUGGAUUCAACGGGAUGACAGGAAGAAUACAGCCGUGGUUUUGACGUCCGCGCAUCUCAUUCGCGUAAAGGAAUACGACGAGUGGAAUAAUGAGUGGACGGGUGAAUAUCAUCGCGAGGCCGAGGUCAUUGUUCACUUGCUGGACGACACAACUGCAGUCGCCAGUCUCCUCUACCUGCAGGAGCACUACGAAUUUGCUCUUUAUGAGGUUCUGGUGGACAAACCGGUUCAACUAUCCACUUUUAAUGACAAUGUGCACUCUGGUCAAGACGUUUUCCGACUUGGAAGAGAUGGAAGUCUUGAUCUAAGGAUAACCCAUGGUAGGGUGGAAUACAAAGUUCCAAUCCGUCAUGAGAGAUGUCACUACAUGUAUUUUUCUAAUGAUGAACAUCAUUUCCGUGACGAUGGAGGCCCUGUCAUUGACUUAGAAGGCAAGGUUGUGGGAAUGGUUAACAAUCAAAUCAAUGAGACCUUUUUACCUUCUUCUAUAUUGCACAAGUGCUUGGAUUCGUGGAGAAAGUUGAAGUGCAUCCCUCGUGCCCACCUUGGAAUUACAUUUGCUUCCAUCAAGCUUCUAGAUCCUAUCUGUAUUGAGAGGAUGAGGCGUAAGCAUAACAUUGCAUCUGGUCUUAUUGUUGAACAGGUGUCAAAACAAUCGAAUGCUGAGAAACUUGGAAUCCGCAAGGAUGAUAUUAUUGAACGUUUCAAUGGAGAGUAUAUUUCUAAUACAAUUGAGUUGGAAAAGAUGUUGUUGGAUAUAGGCAGGGACCAAUUUGUUCAAGCAAAAGUCUUAAAUGCCGAAACAGAUGUUCGGAUUCAAAUAUUCCGUGCCACGAAACUUCGCCGAAGAGUUAGAAACUUGACUGUAAUUGUAUCGGAUUGUGGAGAGAAUAUCAUAGAAGGCACUUACCCUAUCACCGAUGGCCUUUGA